GAUGAACGCUGGCGGCGUGCCUAAUACAUGCAAGUCGAGCGAACGGACGAGAAGCUUGCUUUUCUGAUGUUAGCGGCGGACGGGUGAGUAACACGUGGAUAACCUACCUAUAAGACUGGGAUAACUUCGGGAAACCGGAGCUAAUACCGGAUAAUAUUUUGAACCGCAUGGUUCAAAAGUGAAAGACGGUCUUGCUGUCGCUUAUAGAUGGAUCCGCGCUGCAUUAGCUAGUUGGUAAGGUAACGGCUUACCAAGGCAACGAUGCAUAGCCGACCUGAGAGGGUGGUCGGCCACACUGGAACUGAGGCACGGUCCAGACUCCGACGGGAGGCAGCAGUAGGGAAUCUUCCGCAAUGGGCGAAAGCCUGACGGAGCAACGCCGCGUGAGUGAUGAAGGUCUUCGGAUCGUAAAACUCUGUUAUUAGGGAAGAACAUAUGUGUAAGUAACUGUGCACAUCUUGACGGUACCUAAUCAGAAAGCCACGGCUAACUACGUG
This 497-nucleotide ribosomal RNA is filed under the name uncultured bacterium. Its description in RNAcentral is "partial 16S ribosomal RNA". It matches the Rfam family "Bacterial small subunit ribosomal RNA", at positions 28 to 507 of the family's 1533-position model. The record is from RNAcentral.